RNAcentral lists this ribosomal RNA (497 nucleotides) under uncultured bacterium. Its description in RNAcentral is "partial 16S ribosomal RNA". It matches the Rfam family "Bacterial small subunit ribosomal RNA", at positions 28 to 507 of the family's 1533-position model. The record is from RNAcentral.
GAUGAACGCUGGCGGCGUGCCUAAUACAUGCAAGUCGAGCGAACGGACGAGAAGCUUGCUUCUCUGAUGUUAGCGGCGGACGGGUGAGUAACACGUGGAUAACCUACCUAUAAGACUGGGAUAACUUCGGGAAACCGGAGCUAAUACCGGAUAAUAUUUUGAACCGCAUGGUUCAAAAGUGAAAGACGGUCUUGCUGUCACUUAUAGAUGGAUCCGCGCUGCAUUAGCUAGUUGGUAAGGUAACGGCUUACCAAGGCAACGAUGCAUAGCCGACCUGAGAGGGUGAUCGCCCACCCGGGAACUGAGACACGGUCAAGACUCCUAAGGGAGGCACCAGAAGGGAAUCUUACGCAAAGGGCGAAAGCCUGACGGAGCAACGCCGCGUGAGUGAUGAAGGUCUUCGGAUCGUAAAACUCUGUUAUUAGGGAAGAACAUAUGUGUAAGUAACUGUGCACAUCUUGACGGUAACUAAUCAGAAAGCCACGGCUAACUACGUG